AGAGUUUGAUCAUGGCUCAGGAUGAACGCUGGCGGCGUGCUUAACACAUGCAAGUCGAACGAUGACCUCCAGCUUGCUGGGGUGAUUAGUGGCGAACGGGUGAGUAACACGUGAGUAACCUGCCCUUAACUCUGGGAUAAGCCUGGGAAACUGGGUCUAAUACCGGAUAUGACUCCUCAUCGCAUGGUGGGGGGUGGAAAGCUUUUUGUGGUUUUGGAUGGACUCGCGGCCUAUCAGCUUGUUGGUGAGGUAAUGGCUCACCAAGGCGACGACGGGUAGCCGGCCUGAGAGGGUGACCGGCCACACUGGGACUGAGACACGGCCCAGACUCCUACGGGAGGCAGCAGUGGGGAAUAUUGCACAAUGGGCGAAAGCCUGAUGCAGCGACGCCGCGUGAGGGAUGACGGCCUUCGGGUUGUAAACCUCUUUCAGUAGGGAAGAAGCGAAAGUGACGGUACCUGCAGAAGAAGCGCCGGCUAACUACGUGCCAGCAGCCGCGGUAAUAC
Molecule: ribosomal RNA, 506 nt
Filed under: uncultured bacterium
Lineage: Bacteria
Description: bacterial SSU rRNA
Rfam family: Bacterial small subunit ribosomal RNA
Source: RNAcentral